Transfer RNA from Vanderwaltozyma polyspora DSM 70294, 73 nucleotides. It matches the Rfam family "tRNA". Rfam says of the family: Transfer RNA (tRNA) molecules are approximately 80 nucleotides in length. NCBI's taxonomy places the organism in Eukaryota, Fungi, Ascomycota, Saccharomycetes, Saccharomycetales, Saccharomycetaceae. The record is from Rfam.
GGGCACGUGGCGUAGUUGGUAGCGCGCCUGCCUUGCAAGCAGGAGGUCACUGGUUCGAUUCCUGUCGUGUCCA